UGCCAGCCGCCGCGGUAAUACGAAGGGUGCAAGCGUUGCUCGGAAUCACUGGGCGUAAAGCGGACGCAGGCGGAACGUUAAGUUGGAUGUGAAAGCCCCGGGCUCAACCUGGGAACUGCAUUCAAAACUGGCGUUCUUGAGUUCAAGAGAGGGUGGUGGAAUUCCUGGUGUAGAGGUGAAAUUCGUUGAUAUCAGGAGGAACACCGGCGGCGAAGGCGGCCACCUGGCUGGGCCAUUUUUGACGCUGAGAUGCGAAAGCUAGGGGAGCAAACAGGAUUAGAUA
RNAcentral lists this ribosomal RNA (283 nucleotides) under uncultured bacterium. RNAcentral's name for it is "partial 16S ribosomal RNA". It matches the Rfam family "Bacterial small subunit ribosomal RNA", at positions 506 to 784 of the family's 1533-position model. The record is from RNAcentral.